RNAcentral lists this long non-coding RNA (218 nucleotides) under Lathyrus oleraceus (garden pea). Its description in RNAcentral is "Pisum sativum (pea) long non-coding RNA (PSAT_LNC040311)". Lineage: Eukaryota; Viridiplantae; Streptophyta; Magnoliopsida; Fabales; Fabaceae. The record is from RNAcentral.
UGAUUCGCAACUUGAGCUUAAAUUAAUUUCUAACCAUUGAUAAAAUCAAUUAUUCUGAUCACAAUCCAAGGAUGGUCAUUUACCUACCAAGUCUAUAUAAACAUGUUAUUUCUCAUAAUUUUGAUUUUAGCUAACAUCACUAACCUAACUUAGAAAAUUCACAAUUAACCAUUAUUUUUUUACAAUUUUUCUAUUCUCUCUCAAUAUUCAUCUUCUCC